GACGAACGCUGGCGGCGUGCUUAACACAUGCAAGUCGAACGGAGUGGCGAACGGGUGAGUAACACGUGGGUGACCUGCCCUGCACUUCGGGAUAAGCCUGGGGAACUGGGUCUAAUACCGGAUAGUGUGGGAUGGGCCCGCGGCCUAUCGGCUUGUUGGUGGGGUAAUGGCCGACCAAGGCGGGGACGGGUAGCCGGCCUGAGAGGGUGGACGGCCACAUUGGGACUGAGACACGGCGCAGACUACUACGGGGGGCAGCAGUGGGGAAUAUGGCACAAUGGGCGGACGACUGAUGCAGGGAGGCGGCGUGGGGGAUGACGGCCGUCGGGUUGUAAACUCCUUUCACCAUCGACGCGGUAGAUGGAGAAGAAGCACCGGCUAACUACGUGCCAGCAGCCGCGGUAAUUC
RNAcentral lists this ribosomal RNA (408 nucleotides) under uncultured bacterium. RNAcentral describes it as "partial 16S ribosomal RNA". It matches the Rfam family "Bacterial small subunit ribosomal RNA", at positions 28 to 526 of the family's 1533-position model. The record is from RNAcentral.